CAAGAACAUGAACUCGAAGAUCAAGAUGAACACCAUCAACAGCAACAGAGAGAUGAAGAGUCUCGCCACCGUCACCAUCAUCACCAUCACCAUCAAGCACAACAACAACAGGCCGCUGCAGUUGCAGCCGCAGCGGCUGCCGCAGCUGCACAACAUCAUCAUCAUCAAGCAGCCACAGCAGCAGCCAUUCAAAAUGCUCUGGCAGCAAAUCACCUUGCAAUGAUAGCCCAAGCCAAUCGUGCCGCUGGCGGUGGUGAUACAGCAUCACCCGAGUCUCUUAGUCAAUUUGGCGGCACAAGAUCUGAGAAUGGCG
Molecule: long non-coding RNA, 313 nt
Filed under: Lupinus mutabilis
Lineage: Eukaryota; Viridiplantae; Streptophyta; Magnoliopsida; Fabales; Fabaceae
Description: partial ncRNA
Source: RNAcentral